Molecule: long non-coding RNA, 237 nt
Filed under: Homo sapiens (human)
Lineage: Eukaryota; Metazoa; Chordata; Mammalia; Primates; Hominidae
Description: long non-coding RNA NONHSAT183618.1
Source: RNAcentral
AGAAAGAGAGAGAGCAGGAGAGAGAGAGACAGACAGAAUCCACUAGUAGAAUAAGCCAUGAUCACCACUCAAAACUUGUAAGUUUACUUCUUUGCUAAUAGAUAUUGGAAUCAUUAAGUUUGCUCUUAAAAAAGUAUUUUUGUUUUGUUUUGUUUUUUCAGUUGCUACUACUUGAUCAGUACCUGGAAUUCUGAGGAAAACCCUAUUAGAGAUUGCAAAUCCAGUAAAUAAAGGCAG